Molecule: ribosomal RNA, 252 nt
Filed under: uncultured bacterium
Lineage: Bacteria
Description: partial 16S ribosomal RNA
Rfam family: Bacterial small subunit ribosomal RNA
Source: RNAcentral
UACAGAGGUCUCAAGCGUUGUUCGGAUUCAUUGGGCGUAAAGGGUGUGUAGGUGGCGCCGUAAGUCGGGUGUGAAAUUUCGGAGCUUAACUCCGAAACUGCAUUCGAUACUGCGGUGCUUGAGGACUGGAGAGGAGACUGGAAUUCAUGGUGUAGCAGUGAAAUGCGUAGAGAUCAUGAGGAACACCAGUGGCGAAGGCGACUUCCUGGCCUGCUUUGACACUCAGACGCGAAAGCAUGGGGAGCGAACGGG